Molecule: ribosomal RNA, 254 nt
Filed under: uncultured bacterium
Lineage: Bacteria
Description: partial 16S ribosomal RNA
Rfam family: Bacterial small subunit ribosomal RNA
Source: RNAcentral
UACGUAGGGUGCGAGCGUUGUCCGGAAUUAUUGGGCGUAAAGAGCUCGUAGGCGGUCUGUCGCGUCGGUCGUGAAAACUUGGGGCUUAACCCUGAGCUUGCGGUCGAUACGGGCAUGACUGGAGUUCGGCAGGGGAGACUGGAAUUCCUGGUGUAGCGGUGAAAUGCGCAGAUAUCAGGAGGAACACCGAUGGCGAAGGCAGGUCUCUGGGCCGAUACUGACGCUGAGGAGCGAAAGCGUGGGGAGCGAACAGG